UUUUUUUUCAAAGUUAGGGAGGAACGGUGUGGUGUGAACGGUGUGGUGUGCACGAUGGCUUGGCAGCCUUGGGCGAAGGAGAUGCUGUCAUUACGGCAUGGAUUCAGGUAACGUAGCGGUUAGAGUGUUGGGCCAGUAACCAAAAGGUUGCUGGUUUGAACACCCAAGCCGACAAGUAGAUGUGAUCCAGAUGGCGAUAGCUGCAGUCUGAUCCUGGACCCUGUCCUGUGCUGUCUCAGCACUAGGAAACAUACACACUCUGGCUCCCAUUACACAGCAGACUAUUACUGCCUCCCAAACAGCAACCUAUUUCCUACAUAGUACUGUGCACUACUUUCGACCAGAGCCCUA
RNAcentral lists this long non-coding RNA (351 nucleotides) under Salmo salar (Atlantic salmon). RNAcentral describes it as "lncRNA (ENSSSAG00000084932.1)". Lineage: Eukaryota; Metazoa; Chordata; Actinopteri; Salmoniformes; Salmonidae. The record is from RNAcentral.